UGGGGAAUAUUGCACAAUGGGCGAAAGCCUGAUGCAGCAAUGCCGCGUAUGUGAAGAAGGCCUGCGGGUUGUAAAGCACUUUCGGUAGGGAAGAUAAUGACGGUACCUACAGAAGAAGCACCGGCUAACUCCGUGCCAGCAGCCGCGGUAAUACGGAGGGUGCGAGCGUUAAUCGGAAUUACUGGGCGUAAAGCGCGCGUAGGCGGCUUUGUAAGUCGGAUGUGAAAGCCCCGGGCUUAACCUGGGAAUUGCAUUCGAUACUGCAUAGCUAGAGUAUGGUAGAGGGUAGCGGAAUUCCGGGUGUAGCGGUGAAAUGCGUAGAUAUCCGGAGGAACACCAGUGGCGAAGGCGGCUACCUGGACCAAUACUGACGCUGAGGCGCGAAAGCGUGGGGAGCAAACAGGAUUAGAUACCCUCGUAGUCCCUGAGCGGGCUGGCAAGGCGCAU
This 447-nucleotide ribosomal RNA is filed under the name uncultured bacterium. RNAcentral's name for it is "bacterial SSU rRNA". It matches the Rfam family "Bacterial small subunit ribosomal RNA", at positions 355 to 825 of the family's 1533-position model. The record is from RNAcentral.